AGGGUGUAAACGCUGCAGACUUGGUGUUGGGAACCCUUCGGGGGUGCUCAGUGCCGGAGAGAAGUUGUUAAGUCUGCUACUUGGGGAGUACGUCCGCAAGGAUGAAACUUAAAGGAAUUGGCGGGGGAGCACCGCAACGGGAGGAGCGUGCGGUUUAAUUGGAUUCAACGCCGAAAAACUCACCAGCAGCGACUGUUACAUGAAAGUCAGGUUGAUGACCUUACUAGAUUUUCAGAGAGGUGGUGCAUGGCGUCAGUCGUGU
This 262-nucleotide ribosomal RNA is filed under the name uncultured archaeon. RNAcentral describes it as "partial 16S ribosomal RNA". It matches the Rfam family "Archaeal small subunit ribosomal RNA", at positions 748 to 1009 of the family's 1478-position model. The record is from RNAcentral.